This 253-nucleotide ribosomal RNA is filed under the name uncultured prokaryote. RNAcentral's name for it is "partial 16S ribosomal RNA". It matches the Rfam family "Bacterial small subunit ribosomal RNA", at positions 524 to 776 of the family's 1533-position model. The record is from RNAcentral.
UACGUAGGGGGCAAGCGUUGUCCGGAUUUAUUGGGCGUAAAGAGCGUGUAGGCGGCUUUGCAAGUCCGUUGUGAAAACUCGAGGCUCAACCUCGAGACGCCGGUGGAAACUGCAAAGCUAGAGUCCGGAAGAGGAGAGUGGAAUUCCUGGUGUAGCGGUGAAAUGCGCAGAUAUCAGGUGGAACACCAGUGGCGAAGGCGGCUUUCUGGACGAUAACUGACGCUGAGGCGCGAAAGCGUGGGGAGCAAACAGG